CGGAUGAAACCACCGACUUGUGCUCAUGACUUAAAAACUGAAAACCAAAAGAGGCGGAAUGCAGUUUGAAGUUGUCAGACACAUUGCAGAUACAGCUGCGACAACAGGAAACCAGAGAAAAGGCGCCGGUGCAACAGAACUGAAACCUGCGUCAAUGAAGGUGUUGCUGUCCUGCAUCAGCAGCUUUAUCCCCACCAUGUCUUGAAAUUCUGAGUGAUCUGAGACAAUGGAGAGUCCAGCGUCCACAGUGAGGCGACGAGCAUGGAUCAACAGCAGCCGACAGUGGGUCACCUUGGAGGACCCGGACCCGGAGGCCCAGCCCUUCAGACUUCCAUCUGCUUCUUUAGUGGAUGAUGACGUCUUUUCAGACAGUCAGUCCGAUUCACCAAGAUGCUUCACAGGAAAGAUUGAGAGCUGGCUCCUCGGUUGUGGGUGAGUCAGAUGCUUGACUUUUCUUUUUUUUGUUGUUAUGAGAUGAUAACAUUUAGCAACAUGAUCUUGAAGAUAGUCUGACAGCCGCUGGAAUCACACUCAGCAAACAACAGUAAGUACAUAAUGGAAACUCUCUGAAGUCAGGUGUUCCAGGAAGACCAAGAAGACACUGAGGUUAGGCAGCCACAGUAUUGUUUUCCCCUCAGAUGGUGCAUUUUUUUUUUUUUUUCAUAUGGAAAAAGAAUGCAAUGCAAGACUUUACUGUUGAAUUGGUACAUUUGCUCAUCAGAGCUUUGCCUAUGGUGAACAAUACAUGACAUGGUGGUCAAGGCCAUCAAAACUAUGAAAGGAAG
Molecule: long non-coding RNA, 785 nt
Filed under: Sphaeramia orbicularis (orbiculate cardinalfish)
Lineage: Eukaryota; Metazoa; Chordata; Actinopteri; Kurtiformes; Apogonidae
Description: lncRNA (ENSSORG00005003852.1)
Source: RNAcentral